GACAGAGGGUGCAAACGUUGUUCGGAAUUACUGGGCGUAAGGCGCGUGUAGGCGGCUUGGCAAGUCGGGUGUGAAAGCCCUGGGCUUAACCUAGGAAGUGCACUCGAAACUGCCGAGCUUGAGUUCUGGAGAGGAAGGCGGAAUUCUCGGUGUAGAGGUGAAAUUCGUAGAUAUCGAGAGGAACACCGGUGGCGAAGGCGGCCUUCUGGACAGCAACUGACGCUGAGACGCGAAAGCGUGGGGAGCAAACAGG
RNAcentral lists this ribosomal RNA (253 nucleotides) under uncultured bacterium. RNAcentral describes it as "partial 16S ribosomal RNA". It matches the Rfam family "Bacterial small subunit ribosomal RNA", at positions 524 to 776 of the family's 1533-position model. The record is from RNAcentral.